UACGUAGGGUGCGAGCGUUAAUCGGAAUUACUGGGCGUAAAGCGUGCGCAGGCGGUUCGUUAAGUCAGAUGUGAAAGCCCCGGGCUCAACCUGGGAACUGCAUUUGAAACUGGCGGGCUUGAGUGUGGCAGAGGGGGGUGGAAUUCCGCGUGUAGCAGUGAAAUGCGUAGAGAUGCGGAGGAACACCGACGGCGAAGGCAGCUCGCUGGGACGGUACUGACGCUGAGGCGCGAAAGCGUGGGGAGCGAACAGG
RNAcentral lists this ribosomal RNA (253 nucleotides) under uncultured bacterium. RNAcentral's name for it is "partial 16S ribosomal RNA". It matches the Rfam family "Bacterial small subunit ribosomal RNA", at positions 524 to 776 of the family's 1533-position model. The record is from RNAcentral.